UACGUAGGGCCCGAGCGUUAUCCGGUAUUAUUGGGCGUAAAGAGUACGUAGGCGGUAUGGUAAGACAAUGGUUAAAGCUCCGGGCUCAACUCGGAAAUCGCCGUUGUGACUGCCGUACUAGUCGGUAGCAGGGGCAAGCGGAAUUCUCGGUGUAGGAGUGAAAUCCUUUGAGAUCGAGAAGAACACCAAUGGCGAAGGCAGCUUGCUAGGUUACUUGAGACGCUGAGGUACGAAAGCGUGGGGAGCGAAC
This 250-nucleotide ribosomal RNA is filed under the name uncultured Candidatus Berkelbacteria bacterium. Its description in RNAcentral is "partial 16S ribosomal RNA". It matches the Rfam family "Bacterial small subunit ribosomal RNA", at positions 524 to 773 of the family's 1533-position model. Lineage: Bacteria; Candidatus Berkelbacteria. The record is from RNAcentral.